ACAAGUCAGGGCUAUUUUCCCCACCCCGCCCCUACCCCCAGGAAACACCAGCAACCAAUCUUCUUAAUCUGGGCUAAUCUUCUUAAUCUCCAGAUCUUCUGAAUACAGGGACGGCUGCAAGGCCCCGGCGUCUCAUUCCCUCCUUCUGUUUCCUUUGGAGCAUGAGUCCCCUACCUUUUCAGCCCCCAACAAGCCCCGCGUCCCCCCCUCUACGUCACAAGGCCAGGCCCCCUUCUGAGGACAGUGCCCCGAAGAGUUGAUUCCCCCGGCACCUCCCGCUCCCUCUCAAAGCACCGCCUGUUCUGCGGGUCUGCCCCCAGGCGGGCAUAAACACCCCCAGCGAGGAAUGGCCCCAGGCAGCACUGGAGCCCUCCGCUCCCUCCACCACCGGGUCUGUCCCAGCUAGAGGGAGGGGAGAGGGAGAGGGGGCUUCCCUCUGGCUCAGAAUCGUCCACCCUGAGUAAUUAGCUGCCAAAUAAAACGCAAACUCGCCAAAGGAGAUCAGAGGUCCCCCCACAGCUUCUCCAAACUCCUCCUGCCCCAGAGGCUGCUGGGAGGGCCAGAAACCCCAGGAGGCCAGAAAGCCACCUGCUGGGGCACAGGGUCUCUUUUCAGAUCGGAAGCUAAAACCCUCCUUUCAAGCCCUCCCCUGUCAGGCCUGCCGAGCCAGCCCACACCUUCUCUCUCAGGGCUGGCACUCUGGCCCCUCGCCCACCCGCUCCUCAGCCUAGGAAUGGAAAAUGGGUUUGGCAGACACCACUGGUCGCCUGCCGGUGUCCCUUUUCCUCUUGUCUGAUACUGUUCAGGCUGACUCUUGGUGGCCCCAUGGCCCAUGCCCCUGAUUUGUUUAGGGGGAGUGGGAAGUGCGGUCCAGCACAGCCAAGGACACAGGAAGGGAGGGGCUGGAACCAAACAGCCACCAUGGACCAUGAAGAGGAAGCCACUUGAAGAAGAGAGCUGGGGCUGGCCCGUGGCCGAGUGGUUAAGUUCGUGCGCUCUGCUUCGGCGGCCCAGGGUUUCGCUGGUUCGGAUCCUGGGCACGGACAUGACACCACUCAUCAGGCCACGCUGAGGCGGCGUCCCACAGAGCUCAACCAGAGGCACUCACAACUAGGGUAUACGACUAUGUACUGGGGGCUUCGGGGAGAAGAAGAAGAAGAAGAAAAAAAGAAGAUUGGCAACAGUUGUUAGCUCAGGUGCUGAUCUUUAAAAAAGAAAUAAAAAUAAACAAGAGAGCUGAGCAGCAAGAAAGAAUGAUUGACAUUGACUCUGAGAAACUUCUCUUCCACCUUCUAGGUUCUUGAUUGUUUGAGAGAGAAAUAAACUUCUGUCUUUGGGGCACUGUUUUUCUCCUCGGGGUGGUGUCUGUCACCCACAGCUGAACUUAAUCCUGGUCCCUACAGACUAGAACCUAGAUCUGUCUGUCCCCAAGGAACCUAUCCUCGGGGACCCUACCUAUCUACCGAGGAGCCCACCACUCCGUCUUAAGUCCUGAUGGAAGGCUGCAGUGCUCAGGAUGUGCCAAUGAGAGGCCCAUUAGAGCAGGCAAGCCCUGGCUCCAGCUGAGCCUCCCGUGCCGAGUUCUGGUUAGAAGGUGCCGGUGGCCACCGUGGAGUUCCCGAAAUGGCUGGAGGUUCAGUUUGGCGGAAGGGCAGGAAAAGAGCUUGACGAGUGGGGAGGCUGAGGACAGAGGACUGGCUGGAGAUUACAUGCUGACUGGCUUAAAUCCAGCAUUUGGGAAAGCAGGAAGUCCACCCAAACCCACCUGCAGACAGUUAGAAGAGCGUGGAAGCGAGGAGGCCUCACGCGGCCGACCUCACCCUCGGAGUGCCUGUGAGUGACUCCCUGUACCCACCACGCAGAAAGGACCCCCGGGGCUCCCCUUCCACCACCUGGGGAGACAGAGUGCCACAGCGCGCCAGUGGCCACAUAGUGGCCAUCUGUGUUCCGGCAGCCCUGCACCUGUGCACCCUUCUCAGCACCAACACCACCCAACUUUCCCCUGGGAAUCCCCACCCUCCCUUCAGCCCAGGGCUUCAAAGGCAGCUGACUCCACCCCAGGUCCAGGGACACCACGUGCCUCAGACCUGGCCAAAGUGCCUGUAUUCCCCCAGCCAUUCUGAUUGGUCGGGGAGACCAUGUGAUCCAGGGAGACCCAGUGCCGAGUCUGUCAGAGGAGAGCAGACUUUCUUUUCCAUGAAUUGAACCUGGGAGGAUGUAACCCUGAGGCUGCUCAAAGCCGUUUUGCUACCAGAUGGAGCCUCAGGAUGAAGCAGAAACGGGAAGAGCCAAGAGACAGGCCUCCCGGUCCCAGCUGGAUCCUGUCCUGAGGCUCAUUGCCCCUCACGUUUAUAGAUAUCAGUACAUUUCUUCUCCCGUCACCACCCAGAACUCCUUGCUUGUGCACAUUCUGGUCUCUCGAACUAGGACACCAUUUCUUCCCCAGCUGGGAAGGUCUCCCCCUCCAGCGUCUUAAGGCCAGCUUACACCGCCCCUCCCCUGAGGAGGCCGCUCUCAUCCUCUGCCCUGGUUGAGCAUAGGACACCUGCAACAAACCAUUUCCACGUCUGCUCCACCGCCAGCAUAGGAGUUUCUCAAGGAUAAGACCUGCGUCUCCUUUAACUCUGUGUCUAGCACCCAGCAUCCAGUAGGCACUCACUACAUGUUAGUUGAAUAAAUAAAUGAAUGACUGCAGAGGAGCAAGCUAAUCGUUCAUCAAGUUUAUGGAUGACAUGAAAUUGGGAGCGGUUUCUAGCCAGAGGUUGGAAUCGUAAAGCAGAUUGGCUUUUGCAAAUGAGAAUAUGACAAGGCUGAAUCGGAACCGGAUGACGUUCAUUAAGUAACUAGUUUGAAGAAGUCGCUGCAAGUCUGAGAGCUGGGGUGUGAUGGUUUCUGCGCAUAUUCUAAGGCAAGCUGUGGGUGGCAGACUGGAUGGAGCAAAGAAGCUGGCCAUCAAGGGCUGGUCUCCCCUUUGAGGUCAGUUUGUGGGCUUGUGACAAACAAGACCCAGGAAAGUCCUUCUGUCUCCAGAAAGGCGCUUCUAGCACUGUAUUUGGGGAGAUGCAGGGAAGCAAGAAAAAACAUUUAAAAUAGUGAAAGGAAAGACAAAUUGGAUUUCUGAAGUCGCGUUACAGAGACUGGGGUUGCUGCAUCUGGAAGGAAAAGAGAGAGAAAACCGUUUCCCAACUGUGCUUUAAUGAGCGGCAGCUCCCCAGAGUGAGACGGUGCCCCAGAGGGGAGGGACGGGCGAGGAGACUGUGGCAGUCCGCCCUGCCCCCACCGCAGCCUCGGGAGUUGCCGCCACCCCUGCUGUUUACGCUUUUAUCGUUUGCAAUGAAGGACGAUGAUGUGUGUGUGCGCUGUAUUGAUUGUGCCUCUUAGAUUUUUAUGUCACUGUGGAAAGCAGCAAUUAUGCUUGCCAGCUCUGGAGGGAGCAAACGGCCCUGGCGGGGGAGGACGGCGCAGGGCCGGGAGAGCUCACGAGGCAGCCGGAGGGGUCCAGCUCGGGGGCUG
This is a long non-coding RNA of Equus caballus (horse), 3513 nucleotides long. The record is from Ensembl. Lineage: Eukaryota; Metazoa; Chordata; Mammalia; Perissodactyla; Equidae.